GCAUUGGCCCACAUCUAUCCCCAAGCCUUUGAAAUAUCCCUCCCAGCAUCAGAACACAGUGUGGUGGGACAAGACCUUGGAAUGGAGGAGCUGGUCCUAAAAUGGGUCUGUGUUUGGAUGUCAGAGCAGAGUAACCUCUGUGGGCUUGACUGCCUUUUGGUGGUGCUGGAGUUUAAACCCAGAGCCUCCAAGACCCACUCUCCCAUUCACCCGCCAAGCUGCCACCUCAUCUGUCGAGGGGGCUGCUUCCGACUAGCUGUUCAGUGCAGUUUACAGUCAUUUACAGAACCCUUGCGUGUGACUUUCAGUCAGUUCCCUCCUCCAGCACCCCAGAAAAUCGGGCAUAGUAGAAAACGUAAUCCCAGCAGUUGAUAGGCAAGAGGAUCAGAAUUUUGGAUUAUCUUCAGCUACACAAGGAGUUAGAGGCCAUCCUGGGCUUCAUGAAACCCUGUCCCAAGACUAUAGAAGAAAAGCAAAACCAAACCCAAACCUGUUCUCUCUGUUCCGUUCACUUCAGUCCCUCAGUCCUCAGAGUCUCCCCAACUCUGAACCCCUUCCAGGCACUGUCCAUUUCCUGAACAUGUUUCCUGUCU
Molecule: long non-coding RNA, 593 nt
Filed under: Mus pahari (shrew mouse)
Lineage: Eukaryota; Metazoa; Chordata; Mammalia; Rodentia; Muridae
Description: lncRNA (MGP_PahariEiJ_G0002411.1)
Source: RNAcentral